GAUCAUGGCUCAGAUUGAACGCUGGCGGCAUGCCUUACACAUGCAAGUCGAACGGUAACAGGUCUUCGGAUGCUGACGAGUGGCGAACGGGUGAGUAAUACAUCGGAACGUGCCCGAUCGUGGGGGAUAACGAAGCGAAAGCUUUGCUAAUACCGCAUACGAUCUACGGAUGAAAGCAGGGGACCGCAAGGCCUUGCGCGAACGGAGCGGCCGAUGGCAGAUUAGGUAGUUGGUGGGAUAAAAGCUUACCAAGCCGACGAUCUGUAGCUGGUCUGAGAGGACGACCAGCCACACUGGGACUGAGACACGGCCCAGACUCCUACGGGAGGCAGCAGUGGGGAAUUUUGGACAAUGGGCGAAAGCCUGAUCCAGCCAUGCCGCGUGCAGGAUGAAGGCCUUCGGGUUGUAAACUGCUUUUGUACGGAACGAAAAGACUCUGGUUAAUACCUGGGGUCCAUGACGGUACCGUAAGAAUAAGCACCGGCUAACUACGUG
This 495-nucleotide ribosomal RNA is filed under the name uncultured bacterium. RNAcentral describes it as "bacterial SSU rRNA". It matches the Rfam family "Bacterial small subunit ribosomal RNA", at positions 15 to 507 of the family's 1533-position model. The record is from RNAcentral.